This 444-nucleotide ribosomal RNA is filed under the name Campylobacter jejuni. Its description in RNAcentral is "bacterial LSU rRNA". It matches the Rfam family "Bacterial large subunit ribosomal RNA", at positions 1897 to 2340 of the family's 2925-position model. Lineage: Bacteria; Pseudomonadati; Campylobacterota; Epsilonproteobacteria; Campylobacterales; Campylobacteraceae. The record is from RNAcentral.
UAGCGAAGCUCUUGAUCGAAGCCCGAGUAAACGGCGGCCGUAACUAUAACGGUCCUAAGGUAGCGAAAUUCCUUGUCGGUUAAAUACCGACCUGCAUGAAUGGCGUAACGAGAUGGGAGCUGUCUCAAAGAGGGAUCCAGUGAAAUUGUAGUGGAGGUGAAAAUUCCUCCUACCCGCGGCAAGACGGAAAGACCCCGUGGACCUUUACUACAGCUUGACACUGCUACUUGGAUAAGAAUGUGCAGGAUAGGUGGGAGGCUUUGAGUAUAUGACGCCAGUUGUAUAUGAGCCAUUGUUGAGAUACCACUCUUUCUUAUUUGGGUAGCUAACCGGCUUGAGUUAUCCUCAAGUGGGACAAUGUCUGGUGGGUAGUUUGACUGGGGCGGUCGCCUCCCAAAUAAUAACGGAGGCUUACAAAGGUUGGCUCAGAACGGUUGGAAAUCG